GAUGAACGCUGGCGGCGUGCCUAAUACAUGCAAGUCGAGCGAACAGACGAGGAGUUUGCUCCUCUGACGUUAGCGGCGGACGGGUGAGUAACACGUGGAUAACCUACCUAUAAGACUGGGAUAACUUCGGGAAACCGGAGCUAAUACCGGAUAAUAUAUUGAACCGCAUGGUUCAAUAGUGAAAGACGGUUUUGCUGUCACUUAUAGAUGGAUCCGCGCCGCAUUAGCUAGUUGGUAAGGUAACGGCUUACCAAGGCAACGAUGCGUAGCCGACCUGAGAGCGUGAUCAGCCACCCUGGAACUGAGACACGGUCCAGACUCCUACGGGAGGCAGCAGUAGGGAAUCUUCCGCAAUGGGCGAAAGCCUGACGGAGCAACGCCGCGUGAGUGAUGAAGGUCUUCGGAUCGUAAAACUCUGUUAUUAGGGAAGAACAAAUGUGUAAGUAACUAUGCACGUCUUGACGGUACCUAAUCAGAAAGCCACGGCUAACUACGUG
RNAcentral lists this ribosomal RNA (497 nucleotides) under uncultured bacterium. RNAcentral's name for it is "partial 16S ribosomal RNA". It matches the Rfam family "Bacterial small subunit ribosomal RNA", at positions 28 to 507 of the family's 1533-position model. The record is from RNAcentral.